This 434-nucleotide ribosomal RNA is filed under the name Salmonella enterica subsp. enterica serovar Enteritidis. RNAcentral's name for it is "partial 23S ribosomal RNA". It matches the Rfam family "Bacterial large subunit ribosomal RNA", at positions 140 to 613 of the family's 2925-position model. Lineage: Bacteria; Pseudomonadati; Pseudomonadota; Gammaproteobacteria; Enterobacterales; Enterobacteriaceae. The record is from RNAcentral.
UCGUCACACUAUCAUUAACUGAAUCCAUAGGUUAAUGAGGCGAACCGGGGGAACUGAAACAUCUAAGUACCCCGAGGAAAAGAAAUCAACCGAGAUUCCCCCAGUAGCGGCGAGCGAACGGGGAGGAGCCCAGAGCCUGAAUCAGCAUGUGUGUUAGUGGAAGCGUCUGGAAAGGCGCGCGAUACAGGGUGACAGCCCCGUACACAAAAGCGCAUGUGCUGUGAGCUCGAUGAGUAGGGCGGGACACGUGGUAUCCUGUCUGAAUAUGGGGGGACCAUCCUCCAAGGCUAAAUACUCCUGACUGACCGAUAGUGAACCAGUACCGUGAGGGAAAGGCGAAAAGAACCCCGGCGAGGGGAGUGAAAAAGAACCUGAAACCGUGUACGUACAAGCAGUGGGAGCACCCUUUGGGUGUGACUGCGUACCUUUUGUAU